GAUGAAGAACGUAGCGAAAUGCGAUAAGUAAUGUGAAUUGCAGAAUUCAGUGAAUCAUCGAAUCUUUGAACGCACAUUGCGCCCGCCGGCACUCCGGCGGGCAUGCCUGUCCGAGCGUCAUUUCAACCCUCAGGCCCGAACCCCCCCGGGGGGGGGCGGGCCUGGUGUUGGGGCUCGGGGUCCGCGAGGCCCCCGUCCCCUAAAUCCAGUGGCGGUCGCGCCGCACCCUCCCCUGCGUAGUAGCACACCUCGCACCGGAGAGCAGCGCGUCCACGCCGUGAAACCCCCAACUUACCAAGGUUGACCUCGGAUCAGGUAGGAAUACCCGCUGAACUUAAGCAUAUCAAUAAGCGGAGGA
RNAcentral lists this unclassified non-coding RNA (358 nucleotides) under soil metagenome. RNAcentral describes it as "partial contains 5.8S ribosomal RNA, internal transcribed spacer 2, and large subunit ribosomal RNA". The stretch from base 1 to 120 matches the Rfam family "5.8S ribosomal RNA", at positions 35 to 154 of the family's 154-position model. The record is from RNAcentral.